This 292-nucleotide ribosomal RNA is filed under the name uncultured bacterium. Its description in RNAcentral is "partial 16S ribosomal RNA". It matches the Rfam family "Bacterial small subunit ribosomal RNA", at positions 505 to 796 of the family's 1533-position model. The record is from RNAcentral.
GUGCCAGCAGCCGCGGUAAGACGAACCGCCCGAACGUUGUUCGGAAUCACUGGGCUUAAAGGGAGCGUAGGCGGGCUGCCAAGUCCGGGGUGAAAUCCUCCAGCUUAACUGGAGAACUGCCUCGGAUACUGGAAGUCUCGAGGAGGGUAGGGGCAAGUGGAACCGUGGGUGGAGCGGUGAAAUGCGUUGAUAUCCAUGGGAACUCCGGUGGCGAAGGCGACUUGCUGGACCCUUUCUGACGCUGAGGCUCGAAAGCCAGGGGAGCAAACGGGAUUAGAUACCCCGGUAGUCC